GGACCAUCCCGAGCGGCCGAGAGAUCUGGAUCUGUGACGCCGCAGCAACCCUGGCGCCGCAGACGGAGCCAAAGGUGCUACUGCCAGAAGCGAUGGUGA
RNAcentral lists this non-coding RNA (99 nucleotides) under Sinomonas sp. Its description in RNAcentral is "SAM-I sequence". It matches the Rfam family "SAM riboswitch aptamer (S box leader)". Rfam says of the family: The SAM riboswitch is found upstream of a number of genes which code for proteins involved in methionine or cysteine biosynthesis in Gram-positive bacteria. The SAM riboswitch acts at the level of transcription termination control. The record is from RNAcentral. RNAcentral also lists the same sequence under 1 other name. Lineage: Bacteria; Bacillati; Actinomycetota; Actinomycetes; Micrococcales; Micrococcaceae.